Molecule: ribosomal RNA, 427 nt
Filed under: uncultured bacterium
Lineage: Bacteria
Description: partial 16S ribosomal RNA
Rfam family: Bacterial small subunit ribosomal RNA
Source: RNAcentral
UGGGGAAUAUUGGACAAUGGGCGAAAGCCUGAUCCAGCCAUGCCGCGUGUGUGAAGAAGGUCUUCGGAUUGUAAAGCACUUUAAGUUGGGAGGAAGGACAUUAACCUAAUACGUUAGUGUUUUGACGUUACCGACAGAAUAAGCACCGGCUAACUCUGUGCCAGCAGCCGCGGUAAUACAGAGGGUGCAAGCGUUAAUCGGAAUUACUGGGCGUAAAGCGCGCGUAGGUGGUUUGUUAAGUUGGAUGUGAAAGCCCCGGGCUCAACCUGGGAACUGCAUUCAAAACUGACUGACUAGAGUAUGGUAGAGGGUGGUGGAAUUUCCUGUGUAGCGGUGAAAUGCGUAGAUAUAGGAAGGAACACCAGUGGCGAAGGCGACCACCUGGACUAAUACUGACACUGAGGUGCGAAAGCGUGGGGAGCAAACA